RNAcentral lists this ribosomal RNA (253 nucleotides) under uncultured bacterium. RNAcentral describes it as "partial 16S ribosomal RNA". It matches the Rfam family "Bacterial small subunit ribosomal RNA", at positions 524 to 776 of the family's 1533-position model. The record is from RNAcentral.
UACGGAGGGUGCAAGCGUUGUCCGGAUUUAUUGGGCGUAAAGCACGUGCAGGCGGCUUGGUAUGUCGAGUGUGAAAUCCCGGGGCUUAACCCCGGAACUGCGCUCGAAACUGCCAAGCUUGAGUUCGGAAGGGGGAGAUGGAAUUUCCGGUGUAGGGGUGAAAUCCGUAGAUAUCGGGAAGAAUACCGGUGGCGAAGGCGAUCUCCUGGUCCGAUACUGACGCUCAGACGUGAAAGCGUGGGUAGCAAACAGA